RNAcentral lists this transfer RNA (69 nucleotides) under Cilnia humeralis. Its description in RNAcentral is "tRNA-Tyr". It matches the Rfam family "tRNA". Rfam says of the family: Transfer RNA (tRNA) molecules are approximately 80 nucleotides in length. Their secondary structure includes four short double-helical elements and three loops (D, anti-codon, and T loops). The record is from RNAcentral. Lineage: Eukaryota; Metazoa; Arthropoda; Insecta; Mantodea; Mantidae.
GGUAAAAUGGCUGAGAUAAAAGGUAAUAGAUUGUAAAUCUAUUUAGGGGAAGGGUAUUCUUUUUUACCA